This is a long non-coding RNA of Astatotilapia calliptera (eastern happy), 756 nucleotides long. The record is from Ensembl. NCBI's taxonomy places the organism in Eukaryota, Metazoa, Chordata, Actinopteri, Cichliformes, Cichlidae.
AUGUUCAAAUACUGCAAGCUACAAUGAAAAUAUUGGCAGAUUUCAAACAUAGUGACAACAGAUCAACAGAUAUUGACAUCCAACGGCUGAGAAUAGAAAGUGCUCCUCCGGGAUUGGUGCAUCCAGGGUGGAUGGCUCACACCAAUUGGCUGAGGACUGGGAGGCAGCGGAUAAGAAGAGACCGCCAGGGACUGCCAAUUCAUUCAUCCUCGGCCCAACCCAACCGGCAGACCGUUCACUGUGUCAAAAUAUUAUGUUAAUGUUAAUGUGUUUGGAUUUGGAGCAGACAAGAAUGGAAACUGGAAUCAUUACUAUGAGGAAAUCAAAAACACACGUCUGAGAACUGGACAACAUCCUGGAAAGCUGGAAUAUCAAUAUAUCGAGAAACUUCAUAAGCAACGGAAAAUCCAUUUUUUCAGAGGAUGGUAAUCUGGCUUUUGGUGUCUCUCAGGGGCAUUAAGAUAAGCAGCCCCCAGAACUGUAGAAUUAAAAUACUUAAGGAUAGUAGAUCUAAAAAGAAAAAAAAAUGUGUAGUUUUGUUCAUUAGUUGCAUGUUGGGUAUCAGAGAUUACUUAUUUUUGGAAGUGUUUACAUACAAUAAAGUCCUUUCAGUAUACCACCAUACAAAAGAUCUUUUCCAUUUUGUUCAUAAAACAGUUUUACUCCCCUUCGGCAACUUAUUCUUCAUCAUAUUUUGUCCAGUAUAUCCACUAUCUGUCCUCUGCACAUGUUGAAACCAUUUCAGUCUUGUCUCUC